GGGAAACUAAUACUAAUUCCGCAUAAUGUCUGCGAGCCAAAGGUGGCAUGGCCUCUCGCGUUUAGAGCGGCCCAAAUGGGAUUAGCUAGUUGGUGAGGUAAUGGCUCACCAAGGCGACGAUCCCUAGCUGGUUUGAGAGGAUGAUCAGCCACACUGGGACUGAGACACGGCCCAGACUCCUACGGGAGGCAGCAGUGGGGAAUAUUGCACAAUGGGCGCAAGCCUGAUCCAGCCAUGCCGCGUGCAUGAAGAAGGCCUUCGGGUUGUAAAGCGCUUUCGUUCAGGAGGAAAGGUUAGUAGUUAAUACGUGCUAGUCAUGACGGUACCGACAGAAUAAGCACCGGCUAACUCCGUGCCAGCAGCCGCGGUAAUACGGAGGGUGCGAGCGUUAAUCGGAAUUACUGGGCGUAAAGCGUACGCAGGCGGUUAGUUAAGUCAGAUGUGAAAUCCCCGGGCUCAACCUGGGAACUGCAUUUGGAACUGCCAAACUAGAGUGUGACAGAGGGGGGUAGAAUUUCAGGUGUAGCGGUGAAAUGCGUAGAUAUGUGGAGGAACACCGAUGGCGAAGGCAGCCACCUGGGUCAACACUGACGCUCAG
Molecule: ribosomal RNA, 598 nt
Filed under: bacterium ER-Te-2-brown
Lineage: Bacteria
Description: bacterial SSU rRNA
Rfam family: Bacterial small subunit ribosomal RNA
Source: RNAcentral